RNAcentral lists this ribosomal RNA (443 nucleotides) under uncultured bacterium. RNAcentral's name for it is "partial 16S ribosomal RNA". It matches the Rfam family "Bacterial small subunit ribosomal RNA", at positions 338 to 795 of the family's 1533-position model. The record is from RNAcentral.
CCUACGGGUGGCUGCAGUGGGGAAUAUUGGGCAAUGGGCGCAAGCCUGACCCAGCAACGCCGCGUGAAGGAAGAAGGCUUUCGGGUUGUAAACUUCUUUUCUCAGGGACGAAGCAAGUGACGGUACCUGAGUAAUAAGCCACGGCUAACUACGUGCCAGCAGCCGCGGUAAUACGUAGGUGGCAAGCGUUAUCCGGAUUUACUGGGUGUAAAGGGCGUGUUGGCGGGACUGCAAGUCGGAUGUGAAAACCAUGGGCUCAACCUAUGGCCUGCAUUUGAAACUGUAGGUCUUGAGUACUGGAGAGGCAGGCAGAAUUCCUGGUGUAGCGGUGAAAUGCGUAGAUAUUAGGAGGAACACCAGUGGCGAAGGCGGUCCGCUGGACUGCGACUGACGUUGAGGUGCGAAAGCGUGGGGAGCAAACAGGAUUAGAUACCCGGGUAGUC